RNAcentral lists this ribosomal RNA (292 nucleotides) under uncultured bacterium. Its description in RNAcentral is "partial 16S ribosomal RNA". It matches the Rfam family "Bacterial small subunit ribosomal RNA", at positions 505 to 796 of the family's 1533-position model. The record is from RNAcentral.
GUGCCAGCCGCCGCGGUAAUACGGAGGGGGUUAGCGUUGUUCGGAAUUACUGGGCGUAAAGCGCGCGUAGGUGGCUUGAUAAGCCGGUUGUGAAAGCCCCGGGCUCAACCUGGGAACGGCAUCCGGUACUGUCAGGCUAGAGUGCAGGAGAGGAAGGUAGAAUUCCCGGUGUAGCGGUGAAAUGCGUAGAGAUCGGGAGGAAUACCAGUGGCGAAGGCGGCCUUCUGGACUGACACUGACACUGAGGUGCGAAAGCGUGGGUAGCAAACAGGAUUAGAAACCCGGGUAGUCC